RNAcentral lists this ribosomal RNA (467 nucleotides) under uncultured bacterium. RNAcentral's name for it is "partial 16S ribosomal RNA". It matches the Rfam family "Bacterial small subunit ribosomal RNA", at positions 28 to 506 of the family's 1533-position model. The record is from RNAcentral.
GACGAACGCUGGCGGCGUGCUUAACACAUGCAAGUCGAACGGAAAGGCCCUGCUUUUGUGGGGUGCUCGAGUGGCGAACGGGUGAGUAACACGUGAGUAACCUGCCCUUGACUUUGGGAUAACUUCAGGAAACUGGGGCUAAUACCGGAUAGGAGCUCCUGCUGCAUGGUGGGGGUUGGAAAGUUUCGGCGGUUGGGGAUGGACUCGCGGCUUAUCAGCUUGUUGGUGGGGUAGUGGCUUACCAAGGCUUUGACGGGUAGCCGGCCUGAGAGGGUGACCGGCCACAUUGGGACUGAGAUACGGCCCAGACGCCUACGGGAGGCAGCAGUGGGGAAUAUUGCACAAUGGGCGGAAGCCUGAGGCAGCAACGCCGCGUGCGGGAUGACGGCCUUCGGGUUGUAAACCGCUUUCGCCUGUGACGAAGCGUGAGGGACGGUAAUGGGUAAAGAAGCACCGGCUAACUACGU